Molecule: long non-coding RNA, 276 nt
Organism: Cyprinus carpio (common carp)
Lineage: Eukaryota; Metazoa; Chordata; Actinopteri; Cypriniformes; Cyprinidae
Exons: 3
Source: RefSeq, a predicted model, not a curated record
AAUGCACCUUUGAGAUGAGUUGCCAACCGCCAUUAAACCUGAAAGAAGAAGAAGAUGACGAUGACGUAAUCACGCGCGCGCUCAGCCAGCUUCGAGUCUCGUGAGGCGAGCAGUUCGCGGUACUUCACGUGUUUGCAUUAUUGUAAAACACACUUAACCGUUUAAGCAACAAAGAGACUUAAGCAAACAACACGAUCAGCUAUUGUGACCUUACAAGAUAUAGAUCUCCUCACCUCCUCCUUCACUGGAAGCUCCUCCCACUGCAGAUGUCAUCAA